UAGGGAAUAUUAGUAAUGGGCGAAAGCCUGAACUAGCAACACCGCGUGUGCGAAGAAGGCCUUCGGGUUGUAAAGCACUUUUUGAGAGGAUGAGGAAGGACGGUACUCUCAGAAUAAGUCUCGGCUAACUACGUGCCAGCAGCCGCGGUAACACGUAGGAGGCAAACGUUACCCGGAUUUACUGGGCGUAAAGCGCGUGUAGGUGGUUUGGUAAGUAGAGCGUGAAAGCUCCUGGCUCAACUGGGAGAGGUCGUUCUAAACUACAGAACUAGAGGAUGGUAGAGGGAGGUGGAAUUCCAGGUGUAGCGGUGGAAUGCGCAGAUAUCCGGAGGAACACCAGUGGCGAAAGCGGCCUCCUGGACCACUCCUGACACUCAGACGCGAAAGCUAGGGUAGCAAACG
This 402-nucleotide ribosomal RNA is filed under the name uncultured prokaryote. RNAcentral's name for it is "bacterial SSU rRNA". It matches the Rfam family "Bacterial small subunit ribosomal RNA", at positions 355 to 774 of the family's 1533-position model. The record is from RNAcentral.